GGGUUGUGAGGUUAAGCGACUAAGCGUACACGGUGGAUGCCCUGGCAGUCAGAGGCGAUGAAGGACGUGCUAAUCUGCGAAAAGCGUCGGUAAGGUGAUAUGAACCGUUAUAACCGGCGAUGUCCGAAUGGGGAAACCCAGUGCAAUUCGUUGCACUAUCGUUAACUGAAUACAUAGGUUAACGAGGCGAACCGGGGGAACUGAAACAUCUAAGUACCCCGAGGAAAAGAAAUCAACCGAGAUUCCCCCAGUAGCGGCGAGCGAACGGGGAGCAGCCCAGAGUCUGAAUCAGCUUGUGUGUUAGUGGAACGGUCUGGAAAGUCCGACGGUACAGGGUGAUAGUCCCGUACACCAAAAUGCACAGGUUGUGAACUCGAAGAGUAGGGCGGGACACGUGGUAUCCUGUCUGAAUAUGGGGGGACCAUCCUCCAAGGCUAAAUACUCCUGACUGACCGAUAGUGAACCAGUACCGUGAGGGAAAGGCGAAAAGAACCCCGGCGAGGGGAGUGAAAAAGAACCUGAAACCGUGUACGUACAAGCAGUGGGAGCACCUUCGGGUGUGACUGCGUACCUUUUGUAUAAUGGGUCAGCGACUUAUAUUCUGUAGCAAGGUUAACCGUAUAGGGGAGCCGCAGGGAAACCGAGUCUUAACUGGGCGUUAAGUUGCAGGGUAUAGACCCGAAACCCGGUGAUCUAGCCAUGGGCAGGUUGAAGGUUGGGUAACACUAACUGGAGGACCGAACCGACUAAUGUUGAAAAAUUAGCGGAUGACUUGUGGCUGGGGGUGAAAGGCCAAUCAAACCGGGAGAUAGCUGGUUCUCCCCGAAAGCUAUUUAGGUAGCGCCUCGUGAAUUCAUCUUCGGGGUAGAGCACUGUUUCGGCUAGGGGGUCAUCCCGACUUACCAACCCGAUGCAAACUACGAAUACCGAAGAAUGUUAUCACGGGAGACACACGGCGGGUGCUAACGUCCGUCGUGAAGAGGGAAACAACCCAGACCGCCAGCUAAGGUCCCAAAGUCAUGGUUAAGUGGGAAACGAUGUGGGAAGGCACAGACAGCCAGGAUGUUGGCUUAGAAGCAGCCAUCAUUUAAAGAAAGCGUAAUAGCUCACUGGUCGAGUCGGCCUGCGCGGAAGAUGUAACGGGGCUAAACCAUGCACCGAAGCUGCGGCAGCGACACUAUGUGUUGUUGGGUAGGGGAGCGUUCUGUAAGCCUGCGAAGGUGACCUGUGAGGGUUGCUGGAGGUAUCAGAAGUGCGAAUGCUGACAUAAGUAACGAUAAAGCGGGUGAAAAGCCCGCUCGCCGGAAGACCAAGGGUUCCUGUCCAACGUUAAUCGGGGCAGGGUGAGUCGACCCCUAAGGCGAGGCCGAAAGGCGUAGUCGAUGGGAAACAGGUUAAUAUUCCUGUACUUGGUGUUACUGCGAAGGGGGACGGAGAAGGCUAUGUUAGCCGGGCGACGGUUGUCCCGGUUUAAGCAUGUAGGCUGGUUAUCCAGGCAAAUCCGGAUAAUCAAGGCUGAGGUGUGAUGACGAGGCACUACGGUGCUGAAGUAACAAAUGCCCUGCUUCCAGGAAAAGCCUCUAAGCAUCAGGUAACAUCAAAUCGUACCCCAAACCGACACAGGUGGUCAGGUAGAGAAUACCAAGGCGCUUGAGAGAACUCGGGUGAAGGAACUAGGCAAAAUGGUGCCGUAACUUCGGGAGAAGGCACGCUGGUGUGUAGGUGAAGUCCCUGCGGAUGGAGCUGAGACCAGUCGAAGAUACCAGCUGGCUGCAACUGUUUAUUAAAAACACAGCACUGUGCAAACACGAAAGUGGACGUAUACGGUGUGACGCCUGCCCGGUGCCGGAAGGUUAAUUGAUGGGGUUAUCCGUAAGGAGAAGCUCUUGAUCGAAGCCCCGGUAAACGGCGGCCGUAACUAUAACGGUCCUAAGGUAGCGAAAUUCCUUGUCGGGUAAGUUCCGACCUGCACGAAUGGCGUAAUGAUGGCCAGGCUGUCUCCACCCGAGACUCAGUGAAAUUGAACUCGCUGUGAAGAUGCAGUGUACCCGCGGCAAGACGGAAAGACCCCGUGAACCUUUACUAUAGCUUGACACUGAACAUUGAGCCUUGAUGUGUAGGAUAGGUGGGAGGCUUUGAAGCGUGGACGCCAGUCUGCGUGGAGCCAACCUUGAAAUACCACCCUUUAAUGUUUGAUGUUCUAACGUUGGCCCCUUACCGGGGUUGCGGACAGUGUCUGGUGGGUAGUUUGACUGGGGCGGUCUCCUCCCAAAGCGUAACGGAGGAGCACGAAGGUUAGCUAAUCCUGGUCGGACAUCAGGAGGUUAGUGCAAUGGCAUAAGCUAGCUUGACUGCGAGCGUGACGGCGCGAGCAGGUGCGAAAGCAGGUCAUAGUGAUCCGGUGGUUCUGAAUGGAAGGGCCAUCGCUCAACGGAUAAAAGGUACUCCGGGGAUAACAGGCUGAUACCGCCCAAGAGUUCAUAUCGACGGCGGUGUUUGGCACCUCGAUGUCGGCUCAUCACAUCCUGGGGCUGAAGUAGGUCCCAAGGGUAUGGCUGUUCGCCAUUUAAAGUGGUACGCGAGCUGGGUUUAGAACGUCGUGAGACAGUUCGGUCCCUAUCUGCCGUGGGCGCUGGAGAAUUGAGGGGGGCUGCUCCUAGUACGAGAGGACCGGAGUGGACGCAUCACUGGUGUUCGGGUUGUCAUGCCAAUGGCACUGCCCGGUAGCUAAAUGCGGAAGAGAUAAGUGCUGAAAGCAUCUAAGCACGAAACUUGCCCCGAGAUGAGUUCUCCCUGAGACUUUAAGUCUCCUGAAGGAACGUUAAAGACGAUGACGUUGAUAGGCCGGGUGUGUAAGCGCAGCGAUGCGUUGAGCUAACCGGUACUAAUGAACCGUGAGGCUUAACCUUACAACGCCGAAG
This 2921-nucleotide ribosomal RNA is filed under the name Klebsiella pneumoniae. Its description in RNAcentral is "23S ribosomal RNA". It matches the Rfam family "Bacterial large subunit ribosomal RNA". Lineage: Bacteria; Pseudomonadati; Pseudomonadota; Gammaproteobacteria; Enterobacterales; Enterobacteriaceae. The record is from RNAcentral.